This 124-nucleotide microRNA precursor is filed under the name Capsicum annuum. RNAcentral's name for it is "MIR390 microRNA precursor family". It matches the Rfam family "MIR390 microRNA precursor family". The record is from Rfam by way of RNAcentral. Lineage: Eukaryota; Viridiplantae; Streptophyta; Magnoliopsida; Solanales; Solanaceae.
AUGGAGAAUCUGUAAAGCUCAGGAGGGAUAGCACCAUGGAUACAUCUCCAUCAGCUUGUACACUUGGCUUUUUUUUUUUUGCUAUCUAUAGCGCUAUCCAUCCUGAGUUUUAUGGCUUCUUCGU